This 8702-nucleotide long non-coding RNA is filed under the name Lactuca sativa (garden lettuce). Its description in RNAcentral is "long non-coding RNA (LSAT_LNC001524)". Lineage: Eukaryota; Viridiplantae; Streptophyta; Magnoliopsida; Asterales; Asteraceae. The record is from RNAcentral.
AGCACAAGUACAAAGAUAAACAAAAUAGCAUUUGUAUUCCAUCAGUAAGUUUGAAUACAGGGUUCUUACAGAUAAUAAUGGUACACUAGUUUCCUUUAACAGAUAAGCAAAUAACAGGAACAAGCUAGCUAGGUCGUCUGCAAUCCACGACUAAUCUUCCUCCUAAAAGCCUGUCUGAUGAUCCGGUAAGAAUACAUGUAAGUUUGAAAGUCAACACAAAGGUUGGUGAGUGUCACAGGUUUUCUGCUAACGCAGUAAUACUUUUAGUAAGUCUAAAAAGUAUUAUCUUUGUAUGUAUAACAAUAGUUAAACAGUGUUUGCAAUGAGUCCUUAAAAGCCAAAAUGUAUAGUUUGUAUAAGUAAACCCAUACGUAAAACUGUGUUUGUAAUGAAUCUUUGAAGCCAAAACGUUAUGUUCCAUAAGUAAUUCCAUACUUAAAAUUGUGUUUGAAAGCAACCAAAUCAAUGGUUGUACGGGUAACGAAGAAAGUUUUCUGCCAAGGUUGUACUUCAUAACCGUAGAUACGGAUAUACGGAUACAGUUAUCUGCCAAGUUUGAACUUAACAACCGCAGAUACGAAUAAACAACAAAUACAUUUGAUAAGCAUACACAUAAAGUGUACGAUACUAGUUUAAACAGUUGACAAAACUUAGUAUAGUGUACACAAGCACAUGUAUGAGCCUAAGAUACAAGUUCUAUAACUUGUAUAAACGUAUAAACCAAUAUAUUUUUGUCAUAAACAGACAUACAUAUAUACGGAUAAAGUUAUCUGCCAAGGUUGAACUUAACAGCCGCAGAUACGGAUAAACAUGUAAUUGACAAGUAUAUUUGAUAAGCGUACACAUUGAAGAGUAGAAUACUUGUUUUAAACAACUGAUUAAACUUUGAGUACAAGCACAUAAAUGAGCCUUAGAUACGAGUUCUAUAACUCGUAAGAAUAUAUAAACUUAUAUAUUUUUGUGUAUCUAUGAGGUAUAAUGAAACUACCAAGUUGAUAACCGGCUAUAGUGUCAUAGCACAAUUUUAGUCGGAACGUAUAUGUUAUUUUUAUUAGUUGUAUUAUCUUAACAACAUAACAUAUGUAGCUAUUGAGGUUUAAAACGAUUUUGUUUACUUAACAUGUAAGCGUUUAAAUAAUUAUUUCUAAAACCGAUAAAGUAUUUACACAAAACAAUGAUAUUUUUUUGUUUGUGAAUUUCGUAUGAUAAAUAUUACUUAGUACACGUACUAUCAUGUACAUACGAGGGCCAAACAUGAAACACCGAGGACAGUACCAUUUUGGCAUUAUAGCACUUCUGAAAUGCAGCAACCCAUUCGGCCCUUCAAACCAGAUUCCCCGUACCGUAAGUAGUAGAGUAAUAAAUAAUAUUUUUGUGUGAUUUAUAUUGCAUAAAAAAACGGUGGUGUUGUUUGUUUAAACAAAGUAUUUAGAAAAUAGAUAUAUACUAGAUAUACAAGUACUACAUGUAUUCUCAGCCGAAAAUAUGUAAAAAUGGGGCCGUAACACUCACCUUAAACUGCCAUUAAAGAUUGGUUUUCGAGAACGGAUGCGAGCAAACCGAGAUGUAUUGUCGUGAACACAGAACUCCAAGAUAAAUUUAAUUAAACUAAAACAAAUUAGUAAUUUCCAAAAAUGAGUCAAAAUAAAUUAUUUAAAUUCUAAGUUUGAUUUUGGAUUUAUUUUGUAAAGGUUUUUCCAUAUAGGGGUGGUUUUUGAACAAUUUUAUUAAAGUUAGAAGGUUUUGGACUUGAUAUGAAAAGAAAAUCCAAGAGAGGGUGAUAAGUAAUUAAUUUAAAUGAGAGUUUGAUGGGGGGCUGCUUUGUUAAAACUCUUAUAAUUUAAAGGAUUGUUUUAAUUAUUCUAACUAUGGGAAGGGACUAAAAGCGUUUAAAAAAAAUAAAGUUUGUACAGUAAGUUGCACGUUUACGUACACAUGAGGGUAUACCUCCUGUGUUCUUCAUUUACGAUCGCAAGAAAGAAGAAAAUGCGUAGAUGAUCCUGUAACUAUCGGUAAUGCAUGAGGAUGUAUGAACCAAGCAAGAAGAUGGGAGGACGGAUGACUUAGAGAUGAAGAAUAGCAGCACAACACAGGUGGUGACUGGUGGUUCACUGCAAUGACAGUGGAGGUGCUCGGUGGUGAUAACAGGUAGCCGGCAGCAUCCUGCUGCCGGUUUUCCUUUUUUUUCCAGUAAAUUUAAAGGCUGGGGGAGGUGGAGGAAGGCUGGAGAAGAGUUUCUUUGAGUUUACAGCAGGUAAUGGUGGGGUUUUGAAGACGGAAUAAGGGUGCUGCAUUGGUAUACCGUGAGAUAGAGAUAGAGAGUGUUUUAGAGAGAGAUAUGGAGAUCUUAGAGAUGGAGAAGAAAGCUGGAGGUUGAGGUGUGAUUUUUGGAGGUGGUCUAAGCUUCCUUUUAUACCCAAGAAUGCCCACACACAACACAAGUAAGCCAUACUUCCAACUCAUCAUGUACUCUCUUCGUGAAACUUGCACACAAAGAAGGAGAGGGGGAGAAGAUAUAGUCACGUGGGAUGAUACAUGGGAGGGAAAUAUCAGAUUUUUGGGCUCUUAAGUCAUAUGUGGGCCCCACAUGGGUUAUUCUCUCUUUUAAUUGCUCAAAACACUGAAAACCGGGUGCCUCGGGAUCCGUGCAUUGAGAAUAAUUUUCGAGAGUACCGUUAGAUAGAGUUUAAUUCAAGGAUUUCGGAGCAUCAAACGGAUUAAUUUUGGAGUUACGCAUUUCCAGGAAAUUGCGUUUGAAGUUUUAUGUCUAAACGGCUCGUGGUGUCCGUUUUCACGACUUUUGCAAAUAUUUUUGUUAAAAAUGUUUCGAGCAUGAAAAUAAAUAAUACACCAUAACCUGAGUCCAAAAAGGUUAACGGAAAUCCCGUCAGCAAAACGUAAGUACCUCAACGGAUCAAUUCGGUUUUAUUUGAUUAAAGAAAAAAAACAGUGUUUUACCGCUUGUUUUCUUAAAACUGUCGUAUCUUUUGCAUACAAACUCUGUUUUGGACGUUCUUUGUAUUUUUGGAAACAGGUAAACACGUACUGUAAUAUUUUCAUGUUUCUUUUGCUCAAAACUGCUUAAUAUAAAAUUUCAGUUUUUCUAAUGCAUUAAUUAGCGUUUUCGUUUAAGCAGUUUGAUUCGGUUGACGGUUUACCCAUUUGGAAGUAAGGUAUCAUCUAAUAUCAUGUAAUAAUUGAAAUAUAAUUAUUUAUUUUUCAUUAGAUGCACUAAAACUCAGUAAUUCGGAUACACAAGAGAUUCACGGAUAGAUUGUCGGUUAUAAUAAUAGCCCUAAAUUUCAGGUUGUCACAUUACCUCCCCGUUAAAGGAAAUUUCGUCCUGAAAUUGAGUUGGUAUUGGUAGUACAAGGGCUCUGAUAAAUAGUAAUAUGGUUUCGUGGUAUGAUCCAUGCCUGGUCCUUCUAUAUCACCUUGUGCAUACAAGUCGUAUAUAAUCAAGAUUGAGUAGACAAUCAAAUAAGUGAUUCUACUCUAAGCCCACAACCAAACAAGGAACAGGAAGUAAAGCGGAAUCACAAAUCCUAAGUCGGUAGAAUCUUAAUUAUAUAUAACCCUAACGUAUACACUUAGCAAUCAUAUAUUACCAGCAAGAGUCCUUAGUUUCUACAUGAAUGAUGUGAUUAACUCGGGUGAGAAAGCAACUGGGGAGUACAUUUGGAAUAUCGAUAAAUAGUAAUGUACUUACGUGGUGCAUGAUCCCUGGCUGGUCCUUCUACAUUUCCUUCGUGUAUACAAGUUGUAUAUAAUCAAGAUCGAAGAGACUGUCGAAUAAGUGAUUCUACCCUAAGCCCACAACCAAACAAGGAACAGGAAGUAAAGCGGAAUCACGAAUACUAAGUCUGUAGAAUCUUAAUUAUAUACAACCCUAACGUAUACAUUUAGCAAUCGUAUAUUACUAGCAAGGGUCCUUAGUUUCUAUGUGAAUGGCAUGACUAACUAGGGUGAUAAGGUAACUAGCAAGUACUUUUUGUUAUAGCUACUGUGUAGGUUUCAUUAAGUUUCCGAAAUUUUAUAUUAUGUCACAUGUUGAAACCUAUGGUCGAUAAAGAUUUAAUUGGCACUAGUAUUAGUAAAUACCUAGGUCUAAACAUUGUUGUUAUGAAACGUACCAAUAACCACAGGUGGUUCUGGAAGAGCCUCUUCUGCUGUGAUCAUAAAUACCCUUCCAUUGCCACCUUGGUUCUUUAGUUGUGGGAAGUCCUUCCUAAAAUUCCCUGGUUGAUUGCACUCGUAACAGUUACGACUUCCUUCUGCCGUAGUGGUUGGGGUUCUUCUAUAGUACCUCGAGAUGUGACCUCUCAUGUUACACUUGUUGCAGAUCACCUCCCUGCAAUUUCCGACAUGGUGGAAAUUGCACUUUGUACAAUGAGGUAAAGUCCCAGAGUAGGACUUAGUUGGUGUGGGAGUAUUGGUAACUGUGGCGUAGACAGCUAACAGUUCUGGUUCAAACUUGUGAUGCAUGGAGUCCUCCUUUGUUUCCCCAUGAAACUAUCUUUUGGUGCCUCCAGUGUGCUUCUUCUCUGCUGGUGGGGUUAUGGUACCCUGCCGGACACACUGUUUAGUCAACUGAUAGGCUAAUUGCUUAUCACUAUCGAAAGUGGAGGGUUUGGAUGCCGUCACCAGACCUUGAACAGGUGAAGCUAGUCCCCAGAUGUACAUAGUCCCCAGAUGUACCUUUCGAUCUUUCCUGUCUUUCGGGGUCACAAUUCCUUGGCAAAGGGUUGCAAGGUCAUUGAAUCGAGAGGUGUAGGCAGCUACUUCUGAACAUUUCAUGACAAGGUUACAAAGCUCUUGCUCUAGAUCCUGUAUCUCCUGUCGGGGACAAUACUCCUUGGUCAUUAGUUGCUUCAGGGAUUCCCAACCCAUGGCAAAAGCUUCAGCGAUUCCCAUGGACUUCGCAUGGUUAUUCCACCAAGGCAAGGCGGAGUCCAUCAACGUGCAGGUAGCGUAUUUAACCCUACAGUCAUCAGGGCAAGCACUCAUGUGGAAGACAGCCUUAGUCUUUUCUAUCCAACGGGAUAGCCCAACAGCUCCUUCAGUGUCGUACAAGCCUCGAGGUUUGCAGCUCAUGAAAUCCUUAUAGGAGCAGUGUCUGGUGUUGCUUAGGUGAGUUGUGAGAUUGCCACUUCCACUAUUUCCAGUGUUUCCGUUUCGGGCUACCUCGUAUGCUGCCAAAGUCGUAGCAAUUCCUUGUGUGAGCAUGUUCUGCAUCAUGGUGGAAUUCAUUUGGAAUGUUUGGUUUACAUUUAUUACUUCUGGGUCUCCUCCCUGGUUUGGAGUUUCCACUGAUGUUUGAGUUACUAGUGGGGUUCUCCUCGGGUUGCCUCGGGGAGUUGGCGGUAGACGAACUCCUGGUUGCUUUCGUGGGGCCAUCUCCUAAUAUGUUUAAAACGGACAUGUUAAGUUGUGUUAAUACUAUAAAGUCCUAACAAGUAUGCAUGGGAAGCAUUUUAUGAUAUAGUUUGCUUGUGAAAUCCUACAAAUUAUAAGAAUAAAGGAUUGACUUAGAAAUCCUUUAGAUUUCCUAAUGAUACGGAGAAGGUGAUUGGUUUAGAAAUCCUCUAGAUUUCUAAAUGAUAGACAAGGGACCUUAAUUGCUAAUGAAUUGUAAGUGUUUUAAAAUGUAUGUAUAGAUUCUAAGGUACUAGGUUGCUGUAGCAAAUAUGGAGAACAUCCUUCAAUCUCUAAAACCUUCAACCGUUAUAGUCUGUCAGACUCCUUGCUCAGGGUUGAUAGUGUACCGGCCUAACCAUAAACAACAUAGGUGCGCAUGCCAGAUUUAUUUAUGGUAUGACUUAUGUACGGUACUAACCCUAAUUGAGGCGUCUGACGUAAAGGGUUGAGUUGGUAGUUUUAGUUGAAGGGAUAGUAAAAUUUUAUUAAGUGUUCUCAUCGCGGGUCAGAUUAUAAAUAAACUCUUAAAUAUUUUGGUCGGUGGGGUUUAUAGUAUUAUUAAUUUUUGUUUGUUCUUCUCGACUACCGAGCACAGACGAUUACCGGACAUGAAACGACAUAAGUAGCUGAGAAGUAGUGUUAUUAAUAAUAAUACUUUUAUUAGAAGCUAGUAUGCUAUAGUUGUAUUCCUGUUUCAAGGAUACGAGUUCUCUAUAGCCAAUUUGGCUCUGAUACCAUUUUGUCACACCCUCGGCCAAGGCGGAACACGCCGGAAGCGGGACUAAGUUCAUGGAUCACAGAUAAAAUGAAUAUAUAGCAUAAGUACAAUGAUAAACAAAAUAGCAUUUGUAUUCCAUCAGUAAUUUUGAAUAUAGGGUUCUUACAGAUAAUAAUGGUUCAGUAGUUGCCUUUAACAAAUAAGAAAAUAACAGGAACAAGCUAGCUAGGUCGUCUGCAAUCCACGACUAAUCUUCUUCCUAAAAGCCUGUCUGAUGAUCCGCUAUGAAUACAUGUAAGUUUGAAAGUCAACACAAAGGUUGGUGAGUGUCACAGGUUUUCUGCUAACGCAGUAAUACAUUUAGUAAGUCUAAAAAGUAUUAUCUUUGUAUGUAUAACAAUAGUUAAACAAUGUUUGCAAUGAGUCCUUAAAAGCCAAAAUGUAUAGUUUGUAGAAGUAAACCCAUACGUAAAACUGUGUUUGUAAUGAAUCUUUGAAGCCAAAACGUUAUGUUCCAUAAGUAAUUCCAUACUUAAAAUUGUGUUUGAAAGCAACCAAAUCCAUGGUUGUAUGGGUAACGAAUAAAGUUUUAUGCCAAGGUUGUACUUCAUAACCGCAGAUACGGAUAAAUAAAUAUACGGAUAUACAGAUAUAGUUAUCUGCCAAGGUUGAACUUAACAACCGUAGAUACGGAUAAACAACAAGUAUAUUUGAUAAGCAUACACAUAAAGUGUACGAUACUAGUUUAAACAGUUGAAAAAACUUAGUAUAGUGUACAGAAGCACAUGUAUGAGCCUAAGAUACAAGUUCUAUAACUUGUAUAAACGUAUAAACCAAUAUAUUUUUGUCAUAAACAGACAUACGGAUAUACGGAUAAAGCUAUCUGCCAAGGUUGAUAUUAACAACCGCAGAUACGGAUAAACAGGUAAUUGACAAGUAUAUUUGAUAAGCGUACACAUUGAUGAGUACAAUACUUGUUUUAAACAACUUAUUCAACUUUGAGUACAAGCACAUAAAUGAGCCUAAGAUACGAGUUCUAUAACUCGUAAGAAUAUAUAAACUUAUAUAUUUUUGUGUAUGUAUGAGGUAUAAUGAAACUACCAAGUUGAUAACCGGCUAUAGUGUCAUAGCACAAUUUUAGUCGGAACGUAUAUGUUAUUUUUAUUAGUUGUAUUAUCUUAACAACAUAACAUAUGUAGCUAUUGAGGUUUAAAACGAUUUUGUUUACUUAACAUGUAAGCGUUUAAAUAAUUAUUUCUAAAACCGAUAAAGUAUUUACACAAAACAAUGAUAUUUUUUUGUUUGUGAAUUUCGUAUGAUAAAUAUUACUUAGUACACGUACUAUCAUGUACAUACGAGGGCCAAACAUGAAACACCGAGGACAGUACCAUUUUGGCAUUAUAGCACUUCUGAAAUGCAGCAACCCAUUCGGCCCUUCAAACCAGAUUCCCCGUACCGUAAGUAGUAGAGUAAUAAAUAAUAUUUUUGUGUGAUUUAUAUUGCAUAAAAAAACGGUGGUGUUGUUUGUUUAAACAAAGUAUUUAGAAAAUAGAUAUAUACUAGAUAUACAAGUACUACAUGUAUUCUCAGCCGAAAAUAUGUAAAAAUGGGGCCGUAACACUCACCUUAAACUGCCAUUAAAGAUUGGUUUUCGAGAACGGAUGCGAGCAAACCGAGAUGUAUUGUCGUGAACACGGAACUCCAAGAUAAUUUUAGUUUCCUAGAAAAUUUCAAUAUAAAUUAAUAUUUGGAAAGUUAUUUGGUAUUUUAUCUAAAAUAUAAGACCCAUUUAUUAAUUUAAUUAAACUAAAACAAAUUAGUAAUUUCCAAAAUGAGUCAAAAUAAAUUAUUUAAAUUCUAUGUUUGAUUUUGGAUUUAUUUUGUAAAGGUUUUUCCAUAUAGGGGUGGUUUUUGAACAAUUUUAUUAAAGUUAGAAGGUUUUGGACUUGAUAUGUAAAGAAAAUCCAAGAGAGGGUGAUAAGUAAUUAAUUUAAAUGAGAGUUUGAUGGGGGGCUGCUUUGUUAAAACUCUUAUAAUUUAAAGGAUUUUUUUAAUUAUUCUAACUAUGGGAAGGGACUAAACGCGUUUAAAAUAAUAAAGUUUGUACAGUAACUUGCACGUUUACGUACACAUGAGGGCAUACCUCCUGUGUUCUUCAUUUACGAUCGCAAGAAAGAAAAAAAUGCGUAGAUGAUCCUGUAACUAUCGGUAAUGCAUGAGGAUGUAUGAACCAAGCAAGAAGAUGGGAGGAUGGAUGACUUACAGAUGAAGAAUAGCAGCACAACACAUGUGGUGACUGGUGGUUCACUGCAAUGGCAGUGUAGGUGCUCGGUGGUGAUAACAGGUAGCCGACAGCAUCCUGCUGCCGGUUUUCCUUUUUUUUCCGGUAAAUUCAAAGGCUGGGGGAGGUGGAGGAAGGUUAGAGAAGAGUUUCUUCGAGUUUACAGCAGGUAAUGGUGAGGUUUUGAAGAUGGAAUAAGGGUGGUGCAGCGGUAUACCGUGAGAUAGAGAUAGAGAGUGUUUUAGAGAGAGAUAUGGAGAUCUUAGAGAUGGAGAAGAAAGCCGG